This 1460-nucleotide long non-coding RNA is filed under the name Equus caballus (horse). RNAcentral describes it as "lncRNA (ENSECAG00000052827.1)". Lineage: Eukaryota; Metazoa; Chordata; Mammalia; Perissodactyla; Equidae. The record is from RNAcentral.
GGAAAUUACCUGAAGCUGGGGAAAGAAACCCCUAAAUAUAUUAGGGGUAGCAGGAUCUGGUGCUCACACAGAGCUGAGAAUAUUUGCCCUUCUCACCAGCCAGACUGGAAAACCCCAUGAUUCACAGGACAUUAGUUGUAAAGAUACAUUUGAAAAGAGAAGAUGACAUCAAUAUAUUUGAUGGCGUCCCCGUGAAGAGUGGUUGCCAAUACUACAGGAAGAGAAAAGAACUUUGAAAAGUAGAUAGAAUUUCACUCCGCAAAGCAUUGUUUAGUGGGACGAUUCUGGAAUUAGGCUCAGAAUUGUGACAGGAUGACUCUUCUGUUACUGAAAAUUACAUCCACCGUUUAAAGCAUUUUGGUGUCCGCUGCAGUUGUCUUCAGCCGCACUGCACUGUAUCCACGUUCAAGCCCAUGGGAAGGAAAAGGAGAAAACGUGGAGGGAAAACAACUUCAUAUUGAAGGACAUGAAGCAGACAUUGUUGCUAAAACCUACUAGCUAAAACCAAGACUCAAAGCAUCACCAAGAUCCAAGAGAAGAUGGAAAAUGUAAUCUCUAACUGGAGUGGCCAUUAGUCUAGCCAAAACUUGGGUGUGAGGAGUUCUUCUAGUACAAGAAGAAGGGGGGCAUGGAUAUGGGGAAAAUUCCAAAAUUUUUUAAAAGAGCACAUCAUCAAGCUUUUGAAACCUCAGAGGUUCCCUGCAAAUGGGCUUUUCCUCUAACCCUUUCUCCCAAAGCAAGGAUACCUGCAAGAAGCAGCACAGCGGUGGGGAUGUCACAAAGCAUCUUUCUCAACCCCUCUGUCUAGGUGGCAAUGGACAGUGAAACAAUGAGAUGUCUGUGGUUAUUUUGACUCUGAAUAAAAUAGAAAAACAUAACAACACCUUCAUUUAACAUAGUGAAUACCUGCUAUGUGUCAACACUAUAAGAUACAGAAGUAAACAAGACAGUCCUGGUCCUGGCUGCUGCCCUCCUGAUGCUUACCUUACAGAAUGGAAGACAUUCACUGAACAAUUUAUUAUGAGUUGAUCAUUUAAUUACAAUAAGUGUUCUAAGGAAGCACAGUGUGUAUAUGAGUAUGUGUUUGUUGUUAGUGCUGUCAAGUGGAUUCCAACUCCUAGUGACGAUGUGUACAAUUGAGUGGAACCUACACACAGCCACCACAGUAGGUCAAUCGACAGACAGGUGGUGUGGUUCCUUGACCAGAAAGGGAACCCGAGCCAUGGUGUUGAGAGCGCAAAUCUUAACCACUAGACCACCAGGGCUGGCUGUGUGAGUGUAUAACACAGGAAUUUGGCCUAGGCUGCAGAGAUCAGAAAUGCAGUAUUAAAAGCAUUAAAAGUAAAAAAGACAGGUUCACUCCAAUCUUUUUCCUUUACAGAUGUUCAUAUUUCUUUGGUUUCCUAAAGUGCUUUUUAGUCUUUCAUGUUUAUUAUUAAGUACUUAAGGCUAUGAUUUUC